Long non-coding RNA from Hippocampus comes (tiger tail seahorse), 486 nucleotides. RefSeq lists it as uncharacterized. The record is from RefSeq and is a predicted model, not a curated record. The transcript has 3 exons. NCBI's taxonomy places the organism in Eukaryota, Metazoa, Chordata, Actinopteri, Syngnathiformes, Syngnathidae.
CUAUAAUCUGGAUCAAGCUGCUGACUUCUUCACGUGAUGUCGCAUCCUGGCAUGACUCCUCACUUUGUCAUCUUGUUUAUAUUUGCCCUUUUUUCCCCCUUGCAGCCACAAAGCCUUCACUGUCAUCCCCCCAAACCCCAAGAAGAGAAGAGAUAUCCAGAAAAAGGCGGAGGCAGAGCUGGCGGCUCUGGAGGAGCUGAGACUGAGCAGAGCCAUGGCCUACGUCAACAUCCAGCCCAGCAGCGUCGGGGGCUGUUUGAGUCUGGAGGAAGUCCGACUGAAGCAGCAGAAGGAAAUGAUGCAGGCCAAGACAAGAGGAAGCAGAAAGCGCUGUGACGUCAUCAAGGCGGCCUGAUGAUGUGCGUGUUCUCACUGGACGGGACUGGUUCAUUUCUACUGGAGACGUGUUGAUGACACCACAUGAGAAAACAGGGCCUUCAUUUCAUUGAAAAACUUUGGGAAAUACUAUGCUCUGGCGCCAACUCA